UACGGGGGGGGCAAGCGUUGUUCGGAAUUACUGGGCGUAAAGGGCUCGUAGGCGGCCAACUAGGUCAGACGUGAAAUCCCUCGGCUUAACCGGGGAACUGCGUCUGAUACUGGAUGGCUUGAGAUUGGGAGAGGGAUGCGGAAUUCCAGGUGUAGCGGUGAAAUGCGUAGAUAUCAGGAGGAACACCUGUGGUGUAGACGGCUCUCUGGACCGCAACUGACGCUGAGACACGAAAGCGUGGGUAGCAAACAGG
RNAcentral lists this ribosomal RNA (253 nucleotides) under uncultured bacterium. RNAcentral describes it as "partial 16S ribosomal RNA". It matches the Rfam family "Bacterial small subunit ribosomal RNA", at positions 524 to 776 of the family's 1533-position model. The record is from RNAcentral.